This 157-nucleotide ribosomal RNA is filed under the name uncultured fungus. RNAcentral describes it as "partial 18S ribosomal RNA". It matches the Rfam family "Eukaryotic small subunit ribosomal RNA", at positions 576 to 732 of the family's 1831-position model. Lineage: Eukaryota; Fungi. The record is from RNAcentral.
GCGGUAAUUCCAGCUCCAGUAGCGUAUAUUAAAGUUGUUGCAGUUAAAAAGCUCGUAGUUGAACCUUGGGCCUGGCUGGCCGGUCCGCCUCACCGCGUGCACUGGUUCGGCCGGGCCUUUCCUUCUGUGGAACCGCAUGCCCUUCACUGGGUGUGCC